UAGGGAAUCUUGGACAAUGGGGGAAACCCUGAUCCAGCCAUGCCGCGUGGAUGAUGAAGGCCUUAGGGUUGUAAAAUCCUUUCGCUAGGGAAGAUAAUGACGGUACCUAGUAAAGAAGCCCCGGCUAAUUUCGUGCCAGCAGCCGCGGUAAUACGAAAGGGGCUAGCGUUGUUCGGAAUUACUGGGCGUAGAGCGCGUGUAGGCGGAUCAGUUAGUUGGGGGUGAAAGCCCGGGGCUCAACUCCGGAAUUGCCUCCAAUACUGCUGGUCUUGAGUUUGGGAGAGGUGAGCGGAAUUCCGAGUGUAGAGGUGAAAUUCGUAGAUAUUCGGAGGAACACCAGAGGCGAAGGCGGCUCACUGGACCAAUACUGACGCUGAGACGCGAAAGCGUGGGGAGCAAACAGGAUUAGAUACCCCCGUAGUCC
This 424-nucleotide ribosomal RNA is filed under the name uncultured prokaryote. RNAcentral describes it as "bacterial SSU rRNA". It matches the Rfam family "Bacterial small subunit ribosomal RNA", at positions 355 to 796 of the family's 1533-position model. The record is from RNAcentral.